GAGAAACGUCAAAAUGACCGCGCGGCAUUUGUUUUGAUUUGUGCCGGAUCAAAACUAGUUGGUGCUCUACUGGCGAAAAAAUCUGGUGAACGACGUCGUGGCGUGUACCGUUUUUACGUGACGAUCAAAAUCGGUUCCGUUCGUUUCGUGCUGACCUUGGAGCACAAGCAGCAAGUGGACCAGUCGGGUGAAAUUUAUUUUCAUGUCCGAACUGAAUGUGUUAAGAAACAGCAACGGCCAAAUCUGAUACGGAUAAGCAUCGAUAGGAACCACACUACCGACCAAGUGAUGAUGGGGAAUAUUUUGCCAGUAUUAAAGAUCUGCAGGUAUCGGCGCUGCUCCGGUUGGAAACUAUAUAACGUUGUCUAUGCUCGGUCCCGUCCUGCAAAUGGGGUACCGAAUGCCAGGAGUAGUUGGAGCUGUACUAAAUUGACAUCCGGGAGCCGUAUCUUUAAGCAUUUAAAAUCAACGAACCUAUGCACUCCAAAUCAAGAUGAAGCCGUUUCCCGAUUGUCGCUUGGCAGGAAGACGAAUAAUAAUAAGAAAAUCAGCUUUGCAGGCAACAUAAAUACCCAUGGCAAGUUCUUACCAGUGCCGGAAGUGUAAAGUGAAAAUUAAAAGUUUAUUUACGUACGAAAAUCUUAAGUCAUGUUUUUUUAAAGGUUAACUGAUAAGAUUCCAACGAAAUUGGAAAGUAAUUGAAUAAAGUAAACAAAAUUUUAAUAACACUUCAUGUUGAACAUUUUUUAUUAUUUUCGAAAACAGCAAAUUCA
Molecule: long non-coding RNA, 773 nt
Organism: Uranotaenia lowii
Lineage: Eukaryota; Metazoa; Arthropoda; Insecta; Diptera; Culicidae
Exons: 3
Source: RefSeq, a predicted model, not a curated record